AAAAAAAAAAAAAAAGGGAGAAAAGCGCGAGAAAAACGACUGGGGAAUAACUCACGGAAAAUUAAUUUUUUUGCUUGUUUUUGUGAAUACUCUAUCCCCCAUCCCUCAGAGGAUUUCUGCGGGGUACGGACCGCACCGUGGGAAGCCUCGGUCCCUGUCUCGCUCCCGCACACGCCUUCACCUGCGCUUUGUCGCAAUUUGCCUGGUGCCCGCAGCCCCCCGGCUCGCUAGGCUGCAAAAUAAAGGGGAGGAAAAGCCUCAAGUAGACCCCAGCCUGCCCACAAAACCGCCUUUUGUGUUAUCUCGGGAGCAGCUGUUGUAGGAGGGAGGCCGACCCCUCAGGUUUGAUUUGUGUCUCCUCAGGCAAAACUUUGCUGGGGAGGGACGGAGCCAGCACGGAGAAGGGGACUCGAUUCACGCCCGGCAGCGGCGGUGCCCAGCGGCCGCCUGUCCCUGCGAGCCGCGGGGCUGAGCCAGGCCGGAGCUUAUCAGACUUCCGAGGAAAAACUAUUUGCGUUUUAAUAAAGAUGCUCCGUGCGCCGGGGAAGAACAAUCCCCGCACCCGAAACUC
Molecule: non-coding RNA, 571 nt
Organism: Cyanistes caeruleus (blue tit)
Lineage: Eukaryota; Metazoa; Chordata; Aves; Passeriformes; Paridae
Source: RefSeq, a predicted model, not a curated record